RNAcentral lists this long non-coding RNA (484 nucleotides) under Rhinopithecus roxellana (golden snub-nosed monkey). RNAcentral's name for it is "lncRNA (ENSRROG00000046065.1)". Lineage: Eukaryota; Metazoa; Chordata; Mammalia; Primates; Cercopithecidae. The record is from RNAcentral.
AAAACGGUGGUGAAUGCAUUGCUCCCAGCAUAUGCCAUUGUCCUUCCUCCUGGGAAGGAGUGCAGUGUCAAAUACCAAUUUGCAAUCCAAAAUGUCUUUAUGGGGGCAGAUGCAUAUUUCCCAAUGUGUGUUCCUGCCGCACUGAAUACUCGGGAGUCACAUGUGAGAAGAAAAUACAGAUAAGACACCAUUGAGUAGCAUCAAGUAUAUGAAUUACAAGCCUGUAUCUUAAGAAUGGAAAUGUUUUGUUCAGAAAAAGUUGGAGAUAACUUGAAGUUUAUUUGAACAUCAUUCAAAAAAUAUCUUAAAGACUGAAGAAACUAAUAAAAUACAUAAUGAUCUUAGUUGUAAUCAUUAGAGAAAAGGAAAGAAGAAAUCCAGGUAAUCUAAAUUUGAUGUUGAGAUGGGAUAGGAUAUUUACAUAUUGAGAUGAUGUAUCUGAUAUUCCAUCCAUUCACAAUAUUUAAUAAACUGAGUAUUUUCU